RNAcentral lists this non-coding RNA (97 nucleotides) under Lotharella globosa. The record is from RNAcentral. Lineage: Eukaryota; Cercozoa; Chlorarachniophyceae.
AAGAAGAGAAGAAAAGAAGAACAAAAAGAGGUAGCCAUUCUAGACCCCUCCCUUACAUUCUAACUCUCCUUUUUUUUUUUUUUUUUUUUUUUUUUUU